Long non-coding RNA from Salvelinus fontinalis (brook trout), 936 nucleotides. RefSeq lists it as uncharacterized. The transcript is spliced from 3 exons. The record is from RefSeq and is a predicted model, not a curated record. NCBI's taxonomy places the organism in Eukaryota, Metazoa, Chordata, Actinopteri, Salmoniformes, Salmonidae.
ACAUAUAUCAGGCAAGGAAAUGUCUUUCCUCUUCAGAAAUCUCUGUACACAGCUACAGUCUUCUAUCGCUGUGGGCCUCUUAAUAAUCUAAGAACAGUCAACAUUAACACAGCCCACGCCAAAUAAAUGAAAGAUACCCCACAAGCCAACCGUGACCUCUGUGAAGCCCAGACGUAAAGAGAAAGAACAAAGGCUAAACCUGGUCUUAACUUCCAAUGCUCCAUCCCCCUGCCCAACCCCCCUCCACGCCACUCCGCCAACCACCAGGAUGCCCGGCAUCAGAACAUUCCAGGCAUUCCCGUGAUUGGCAGAUAGCAGGUUGAUUGGCAUGUCGGACCCCGCGAAAACUGAGAGCCAACUGAUUCCAGGAGUCUCCUGCAGUCUCCUGUCUGAAGACCAGUUCUUGUGCUCUGUCUGUCUGGAUGUGUUCACUGAGCCAGUCACCACUCCAUAUGGACACAACUUCUGCAAGGCCUGUAUAAGACAGUACUGGAAUAGCAAUGACCUGUGUCCAAUGUGUAAGGAGAAAUUCCACAGAUAACAUGCGCUUCGCAUCAAUACUUUCAUAUCUGAGAUUGCUGCUCAGUUCAUGAAGUCAGUUGAAGGCCACCAGAAGCUGAGAUCAAUGCCCCGUUAAACCCAUUACAUGCGCUGCUGCUACUGUUUAUUAUCUAUCCUGUUGCUUAGUCACUUUACCCCUAGCAAUGUGUGCAUAUCUGCCUCAGUUACCUCAUACCCCUGCACAAUCGACCCAGUACUGGUACCUUGUGUAUAUAGCCAAGUUAUGGUUACUAAUUGUGUAUUUAUUCCUUGUGUUAUUUUUAACAAAAUACCUUUCUAUUUUUAUCUCCGCAUUGUUGGGAAGGGCUCGUAACUAAGCAUUUCACUGUUAGUCUACACCUGCUGUUUACGAAGAAUAUGACAAAUAAAAUUAGA